UAAUAUGGACGUGAUCAAACACGGACCCUGCAGCUUUUUCAUAUUUCUGCUUUGGAUUAAAGGUUUUAUUGAUGGGAGUGAUGUCAACCAGACCCCCAUACUGUGGAAGAACCAGGGUGACAAUGCAACUAUAGGAUGCAACCACACCAAGGGUGGUGGCUACUUCCAGAUGUACUGGUACAGACAGCUGCCUGGAGAAACUAUGGAACUAAUUGUGUUCACAACACCGUUUAAUAAAGAUCACGACUUUGAAGAUGUCAGCAAAAAGAAAUUCUCAGCCACUAAACCUGGUGCUGAGAGCGGGACAUUCACAGUGGAGAAUCUGGAGCCUGGAGAUCAAGGCUUGUAUUUCUGUGCUGUGAGUCAACACAGUGAUACAGACACAUGUGGAAGCUGA
This is a non-coding RNA of Seriola aureovittata, 397 nucleotides long. Lineage: Eukaryota; Metazoa; Chordata; Actinopteri; Carangiformes; Carangidae. The record is from the annotation of a RefSeq genome assembly.